Molecule: long non-coding RNA, 1006 nt
Filed under: Pogona vitticeps (central bearded dragon)
Lineage: Eukaryota; Metazoa; Chordata; Lepidosauria; Squamata; Agamidae
Description: lncRNA (ENSPVIG00000004471.1)
Source: RNAcentral
CCAGUAAGGCAAACGUCCCGGGCUUUCAGCACAAGUCUAACCCUGCCUGUAUAUUUCACAAGGAGGGAAAAAUCGGAAUCCUGGAAGCUACGAGGGAGCCUUGGGACAAGGAAUCCAAGGAAGGGAUUUUCGGCCAGUGCGCGCCGAUCCGGAGGCGCAGGCUUGGCCGUCGGGCGAGGCUCGCCUUGUCCUGAAAGGUCGAAAGAAAGGCCCGACCCGUCGCACCGGGAAGCUCCCGCCGCCUUGACGCCGAGGGCCAGCCGGGCGAGGGCCCGCGCCUCCUCCCGCGCAACGCCCGUUCCUUGCCUCGGGACGUGCGCAGGACAACGUCCCGCUCCGUUUGGUGCUCCAGCUUCGUGAGCAGAGAUGCCCGAGGCGUCGGAGUAGAGGACAGGGUCUGAGCAACGGGCGGGUCUGGUUUAAAAAAAAGUGAAAGAAAUGCCUAAAGACGCGCUGUUAAUACCUCUUCAGCCCCGAGGGUUACUCUCCUGCGGCCCACGCUUCCCUCAAGGAGCGGUUCCAUUUCCACGUAUCCCAUCUUCUCGUCCUGGGAGCGGUACUAUUUCGCGCUGGAGAAGGCGAGGUUUCCCUUUGCAGCGAGUGCCUUGGGCCGUGGAAGGAGUGUCCCACAAGCUUAAACUGGAAUGUGCGAAAGAGUGGCCCAGAGGCAUCCACAGUGCUGGACCCAUCAUUACAGUGAAUCUAUGGACUAGUGUUGCUAAGGGUGAGUCUUCCAGGACCAAGAAAAGUGGCUUAAAGGAAGAUGAGGUCUGGACAAUUCCUUUGAUAAAUUGGUUGGUUUUAAAUGGUGUUUCUAUAAUCUACAUAUUAACUGAGAAGUGAGGCUCACUGAGGUCAAAGGGACUUAGCCUCAUACACCUACUUAGGAUUGCAUCCUAAUCAUCAAUCUUUAUCAGUGGUGAAAUGGAUAAUGGUGUAUAAGUAUCUCGAAAAGACAUCUUGUGAACCAUAUAGAUCUUCACUCAGGAUAAACAGUGGAAAGAUG